RNAcentral lists this ribosomal RNA (301 nucleotides) under uncultured bacterium. Its description in RNAcentral is "partial 16S ribosomal RNA". It matches the Rfam family "Bacterial small subunit ribosomal RNA", at positions 509 to 807 of the family's 1533-position model. The record is from RNAcentral.
CAGUAGCCACGGUAAUACGGAGGGUGCAAGCGUUAAUCGGAAUUACUGGGCGUAAAGCGCGCGUAGGUGGUUUGUUAAGUUGGAUGUGAAAGCCCCGGGCUCAACCUGGGAACUGCAUCCAAAACUGGCAAGCUAGAGUACGGUAGAGGGUGGUGGAAUUUCCUGUGUAGCGGUGAAAUGCGUAGAUAUAGGAAGGAACACCAGUGGCGAAGGCGACCACCUGGACUGAUACUGACACUGAGGUGCGAAAGCGUGGGGAGCAAACAGGAUUAGAUACCCCUGUAGUCCCUGUCUCUUAUAC